UACGUAGGGGGCAAGCGUUGUCCGGAAUCAUUGGGCGUAAAGCGCGUGUAGGCGGCCAGGUAAGUCCGUUCUGAAAGCCCGGGGCUCAACCCCGGGAGGCGGAUGGAUACUGCUUGGCUCGAGUCCGGAAGAGGCGAGUGGAAUUCCCGGUGUAGCGGUGAAAUGCGCAGAUAUCGGGAGGAACACCAAUGGCGAAGGCAGCUCGCUGGGACGGUACUGACGCUGAGAAGCGAAAGCAUGGGGAGCGAACAGG
RNAcentral lists this ribosomal RNA (253 nucleotides) under uncultured bacterium. RNAcentral's name for it is "partial 16S ribosomal RNA". It matches the Rfam family "Bacterial small subunit ribosomal RNA", at positions 524 to 776 of the family's 1533-position model. The record is from RNAcentral.